Molecule: transfer RNA, 83 nt
Filed under: Pinibacter aurantiacus
Lineage: Bacteria; Pseudomonadati; Bacteroidota; Chitinophagia; Chitinophagales; Chitinophagaceae
Description: Parasegetibacter sp. MAH-26 tRNA-Tyr
Rfam family: tRNA
About the family: Transfer RNA (tRNA) molecules are approximately 80 nucleotides in length.
Source: RNAcentral
GUGAGUGCGACGAAGCUGGAGAGUCGUAGCUGUCUGUAAAACCGCUGCCCCGGGCUGAGCAGGUUCGAAUUCUGUCACUCACA